Molecule: unclassified non-coding RNA, 311 nt
Filed under: Hevea brasiliensis (rubber tree)
Lineage: Eukaryota; Viridiplantae; Streptophyta; Magnoliopsida; Malpighiales; Euphorbiaceae
Source: RNAcentral
UUUACUAUCCAACUUCAAAUGACAGUUUGCCAACUUGACAUAAGUUGAUCCAGCUUUAUCCCAGGAUUUGGCAAGCUUGAAGGAAUUGGCAGCUUUAUCGAAGAGAUCCGCGGCGUCUUCAAAUUUGGAGCCGAAUAAGCCCCAACCAUUAAGCUUCUUCUCGGCUUUCUUCUCGAAUUCCUCUCCUCGAGCUAUCUGAUCUCCCAUUUUCAGAGGCUUUUCUUUUUCUAAAUAACCAGUGAAUUUUGAAUGGGAGACUAUUAAGCAAAAGAAAAGAAAAAGAUCGAGGAAGGAAAUGACUUCGUCGAGAU